UCUUAUCUAGAGAGACGGAGGGAUUUGGCCCUGUGAAGUCUCAGCAACCAGUCUGACGAAGACACGGUGCUAAUUCCAAUAGGCUGCGCCUAAAAGAUGAGA
This 102-nucleotide non-coding RNA is filed under the name uncultured Planococcus sp. Its description in RNAcentral is "SAM riboswitch (S box leader)". It matches the Rfam family "SAM riboswitch aptamer (S box leader)". From Rfam's summary of the family: The SAM riboswitch is found upstream of a number of genes which code for proteins involved in methionine or cysteine biosynthesis in Gram-positive bacteria. The SAM riboswitch acts at the level of transcription termination control. The record is from RNAcentral. Lineage: Bacteria; Bacillati; Bacillota; Bacilli; Caryophanales; Caryophanaceae.